This 700-nucleotide ribosomal RNA is filed under the name Diploicia canescens. RNAcentral describes it as "SSU rRNA". It matches the Rfam family "Bacterial small subunit ribosomal RNA", at positions 408 to 1140 of the family's 1533-position model. The record is from RNAcentral. Lineage: Eukaryota; Fungi; Ascomycota; Lecanoromycetes; Caliciales; Caliciaceae.
AAGAAUGUAUAGCGAAAGCUAAUUGUAUAUAACUUUUAAAUAAGUUGGUGCAAUAUUGACUCAGUCAAAUAAAGUUCUAGGUAGAGUUAUGAUAAUGACAUUAUCUAUCUAUGUGUCUUGACCAAGCUACGUGCCAGCAGUCGCGGUAACACGUAAAAGACUAGUGUUAUUCAUCUUGAAUGGGUUUAAAGGGUACCUAGACGGCUAAUUAAGCUUUCAAAAAAGAACUAAUUAGCUAGAGUUUAAUAUAAGGAGGCAUAGAAGUACUGAUAAUGUAGAGAUGAAAUUCUGUGAUAAUAUAUAUGGCACUGGUAAAGGCGAAAGCAUCUUAUUAUGUAAUAACUGACGUUGAGGGACGAAAGCUGUGUGUAGCAAAAAGGAUUAGAUACCCUUGUAGUCUCAGCAGAAAAUGAUGAAUGUCACAGUAUAGACAAAGUUUGUACUAUAAAUGAAAGUGUAAGCAUUCCACCUUAAGAGUAAUUUGGCAACAAUGGAACUGAAAUCAUUAGACCGUUUCUGAAACAAGUAGUGAAGUAUGUUGUUUAAUUUGAUGAUCCGCAAAGAACCUCACCACAAUUUGAAUAUAAAAUUUUUAAUACAAGCGCUGCACGGUUGUCUUCUGUUAAUGUCGUGAGAUUUUGGUUAGCUCCAUUAAAUUAACGUAAACCCUUACUUUAUUUUCUUAUAAAGUGGUUCACCG